ACGCUGGCGGCAGGCCUAACACAUGCAAGUCGAGCGGUAGAGAGAAGCUUGCUUCUCUUGAGAGCGGCGGACGGGUGAGUAAUGCCUAGGAAUCUGCCUGGUAGUGGGGGAUAACGUUCGGAAACGGACGCUAAUACCGCAUACGUCCUACGGGAGAAAGCAGGGGACCUUCGGGCCUUGCGCUAUCAGAUGAGCCUAGGUCGGAUUAGCUAGUUGGUGGGGUAAUGGCUCACCAAGGCGACGAUCCGUAACUGGUCUGAGAGGAUGAUCAGUCACACUGGAACUGAGACACGGUCCAGACUCCUACGGGAGGCAGCAGUGGGGAAUAUUGGACAAUGGGCGAAAGCCUGAUCCAGCCAUGCCGCGUGUGUGAAGAAGGUCUUCGGAUUGUAAAGCACUUUAAGUUGGGAGGAAGGGCAGUUACCUAAUACGUGAUUGUUUUGACGUCACCGACAGAAUAAGCACCGGCUAACUCUGUGCCAGCAGCCGCGGUAAUACAGAGGGUGCAAGCGUUAAUCGGAAUUACUGGGCGUAAAGCGCGCGUAGGUGGUUUGUUAAGUUGGAUGUGAAAUCCCCGGGCUCAACCUGGGAACUGCAUUCAAAACUGACUGACUAGAGUAUGGUAGAGGGUGGUGGAAUUUCCUGUGUAGCGGUGAAAUGCGUAGAUAUAGGAAGGAACACCAGUGGCGAAGGCGACCACCUGGACUGAUACUGACACUGAGGUGCGAAAGCGUGGGGAGCAAAC
This 745-nucleotide ribosomal RNA is filed under the name uncultured bacterium. Its description in RNAcentral is "bacterial SSU rRNA". It matches the Rfam family "Bacterial small subunit ribosomal RNA", at positions 33 to 773 of the family's 1533-position model. The record is from RNAcentral.